RNAcentral lists this ribosomal RNA (1356 nucleotides) under uncultured bacterium. Its description in RNAcentral is "bacterial SSU rRNA". It matches the Rfam family "Bacterial small subunit ribosomal RNA", at positions 18 to 1396 of the family's 1533-position model. The record is from RNAcentral.
CCUGGCUCACGAUAACGCUGGCGGCACGCUUAACACAUGCAAGUCGAACGAGAGAAGAGAAGCUUGCUUUUCUGAUCUAGUGGCGGACGGGUGAGUAACACGUGAGCAAUCUGCCUUUCAGAGGGGGAUACCGAUUGGAAACGAUCGUUAAUACCGCAUAACAUAAUUGAACCGCAUGAUUUGAUUAUCAAAGAUUUAUCGCUGAAAGAUGAGCUCGCGUCUGAUUAGCUAGUUGGUAAGGUAACGGCUUACCAAGGCGACGAUCAGUAGCCGGACUGAGAGGUUGAUCGGCCACAUUGGGACUGAGACACGGCCCAGACUCCUACGGGAGGCAGCAGUGGGGAAUAUUGCACAAUGGAGGAAACUCUGAUGCAGCGAUGCCGCGUGAGGGAAGAAGGUUUUAGGAUUGUAAACCUCUGUCUUCAGGGACGAAAAAUGACGGUACCUGAGGAGGAAGCUCCGGCUAACUACGUGCCAGCAGCCGCGGUAAUACGUAGGGAGCGAGCGUUGUCCGGAAUUACUGGGUGUAAAGGGAGCGUAGGCGGGAUCGCAAGUCAGAUGUGAAAACUAUGGGCUUAACCCAUAAACUGCAUUUGAAACUGUGGUUCUUGAGUGAAGUAGAGGUAAGCGGAAUUCCUAGUGUAGCGGUGAAAUGCGUAGAUAUUAGGAGGAACAUCAGUGGCGAAGGCGGCUUACUGGGCUUUAACUGACGCUGAGGCUCGAAAGCGUGGGGAGCAACAGGAUUAGAUACCCUGGUAGUCCACGCCGUAAACGAUGAUUACUAGGUGGGGGGGGACUGACCCCUUCCGUGCCGCAGCAAACGCAAUAAGUAAUCCACCUGGGGAGUACGACCGCAAGGUUGAAACUCAAAGGAAUUGACGGGGGCCCGCACAAGCAGUGGAGUAUGUGGAUUAAUUCGAAGCAACGCGAAGAACCUUACCAGGUCUUGACAUCGUAUGCAUAGCUCAGAGAUGAGUGAAAUCUCUUCGGAGACAUAUAGACAGGUGGUGCAUGGUUGUCGUCAGCUCGUGUCGUGAGAUGUUGGGUUAAGUCCCGCAACGAGCGCAACCCUUACUGUUAGUUGCUACGCAAGAGCACUCUAGCAGGACUGCCGUUGACAAAACGGAGGAAGGUGGGGAUGACGUCAAAUCAUCAUGCCCCUUAUGACCUGGGCCUCACACGUACUACAAUGGCUGUUAACAGAGGGAUGCAAAGCCGCGAGGUGGAGCGAACCCCUAAAAGCAGUCUUAGUUCGGAUUGUAGGCUGCAACCCGCCUACAUGAAGUCGGAAUUGCUAGUAAUCGCAGAUCAGCAUGCUGCGGUGAAUACGUUCCCGGGCCUUGUACACACCGCCCG